GAUGAUGAGGGCAAUCUGGGUGUGACAUCUGUUACUCUGUUGGGCUUCAGGAUUGAUUUGGCUGGCUCUGCAAGUGGCCUGUUCUCAUCACGUCAGGUACAUCUUUCCUGAGGUUUUGCCCUUGGCUAAAGAGGAUGACCUAUUUAGAGAAUGCAGGACCAUUCUUUAUUCCAGGUAUCUGAAUUAUAAUCUUAUCCAUGAAGGUACAUAAUUCUAAGUUUUCUGAGAGGUCUU
This 234-nucleotide small RNA is filed under the name Equus asinus (donkey). Its description in RNAcentral is "7SK RNA". It matches the Rfam family "7SK RNA". Rfam says of the family: 7SK was discovered as an abundant small nuclear RNA in the mid-70s but a possible function has only recently been suggested. Two independent studies have found that 7SK RNA binds the CDK9/cyclin T complex (known as elongation factor P-TEFb). The record is from Rfam by way of RNAcentral. Lineage: Eukaryota; Metazoa; Chordata; Mammalia; Perissodactyla; Equidae.